This is a long non-coding RNA of Solanum lycopersicum (tomato), 1854 nucleotides long. RefSeq lists it as uncharacterized. The record is from RefSeq and is a predicted model, not a curated record. NCBI's taxonomy places the organism in Eukaryota, Viridiplantae, Streptophyta, Magnoliopsida, Solanales, Solanaceae.
GUAAGAACAUGGUGAAAAUAUUUACUACAUUGGAAAUUCUUGUCAAACUAGUAAUGAUUCAAAUUUCGAUUUAGAUAAUUCACCAUGAAUAAUCGAAGUAGACGACAAGACGAGAUGAAAUGGAAAUAGUUAUAUUCUUUACAAACUAAACAGAAUUCACUAUCCUAAACUAUACAAGUAGAGCUAAUUCGACUUGCGUUAUAGACAAGGAAUCUGUUCUGUUUUACUCAUAUGCUGCAAUAUAGAUUUAGCUUUUCGUUGUCCUCUAUCCGUCCCACUCUCACCAAUCUCUACUAAAUACUCGUAGACACCAUACUGAAGUGCCGCGAGCAGAUGAUUUGAAUUGUGUAUGCUUAACCUAUGUAGGACCGCCACUGAACAUUCCUUGUUCUUUGGCGUCCCAUCUCUCAUCAGAUUAACGAGUGUUUCAAUGAACGUAAGUUUUCCCAUUUCUUGCCUUCCGUCUUGAUGUGUUGCAAGAAGUAACAAUAGAGACAACGCCUCGUCAACCAUCUCUGAGUUUUUCUUCUCGAGUAGCUGAAACAACGAUGCUACAAUCCCAGCUUCGUUUGCCAAACGAACGUUCUGCUCAUUUAAACAAAGGUUGAAUAAUGCAGUGAUUGCAUCCUUCUUACCUCUUAUUGUACCGUUUUUCAACAAUUCUAUCAACGGUGGGAUACCGUUUAACGAGCCUAUAGCUUCUUUGUUUUCAUCCAGCAUAGAUAAACUAAACAAUGCUGCUGCAGAGUUCUCUUUAGCACCAACAUUUCCAUUCUGCAAUAUCUCAAUUAUAGCUAAAAUAGGUUCUUCUUUCGAUAUAAGAUUUUUGUUUGUUUCAUCAAUCGAUAAGUUCAAAAGAGCCGUCACAGCAUGUUCCUGAAUUCUAGAAUCUGGAUACGAUAGUAGAUGCACGAGUGGUGGGAUUCCUCCGCGAUUCACUAUUAAUGUCCUAUUCUCAGGAUUUUCUUUCGAAAGCAUCCUGAUCUCUUUCACAGCCUUUCUCUGCACUUCUAAAUGACUAGACGAUAAAUCUUGAAUCAACGACAAAACUCGUUCAUCACUUUCAUCCGAGGGGCUCUCGGGUUUUGGAGAUUCUUGCUUUCGAGGAAGCUGAAAAUUGUUCUUUUCACACCAUUGUUGGAUCAAAUUCUUCAGAGCAAAGUUUGGGGCUAAUGACAAGUGCUCCAAAAUUUCCCCCGUUUUCGGACAUGUUUGGCAACCGGAAUCCAACAAAUGUUGAAUGUUCUCUCUUUCAUAUGUCUACAAAUAGAUGCAAAGUGGAAAGGAAAAUCAGUCAUACAAAGCAAAUCGAACGAGUGAAUGAUCAAAAACCACCACAAGUAUUCAGUUUUUUUUCGAGUUUUCAUACCUGAACUAUCAUGUAUUCACUAUUCCUACCUAGACUAUCAUCACCUAUUUAUCGCAAAACACACCUCAGCUUAUAGUUGAGGUGUGUUAUUCGAUAAACAUUUGCUGAUACUUCAGGUAAGAAACUCACGCAUGUAAUAGUUUAGGUGUGAAACUCAAAAAAACAAAAUACUUUAGGUAUAUUUUUGACCCUUCACUCUAUGAAAAUCGAUCAUUCUUCAUAUAAGGUAUGGUAGCUCGAAGAGAAAUAAACUUAUCGUAGAGGAAGUGAACUCACCUGGCCGGUUGAGACAGUAACAGGAUCGGUCAUAGUCUCUAAUGUGAUCGGACAGAGGAACUCAUUUGGAAUUGCCAAAGAAGUGGAUUUCUCAUGAACUUUAAUCAUCAACGGUUCAAUUUCUUCGAGUCCUGCAAAACUUCUGAAUUUGUUUAGAAGACCUACUAUCUUUUGCGUCUCUUCUGCAUGACGACCUUUUCUUUCUUUAA